GAUGAACGCUGGCGGCGUGCCUAAUACAUGCAAGUCGAGCGAACGGACGAGAAGCUUGCUUCUCUGAUGUUAGCGGCGGACGGGUGAGUAACACGUGGAUAACCUACCUAUAAGACUGGGAUAACUUCGGGAAACCGGCGCUAAUACCGGAUGAUAUUUUGCACCGCAUGGUUCAAAAGUGAAAGACGGUCUUUCUUUCACUUAUAGAUGGAUCCGCGCUGCAUUAGCUAGUUGGUAAGGUAACGGCUUACCAAGGCAACGAUGCAUAGCCGACCUGAGAGGGUGAUCGGCCACACUGGAACUGAGACACGGUCCAGACUCCUACGGGAGGCAGCAGUAGGGAAUCUUCCGCAAUGGGCGAAAGCCUGACGGAGCAACGCCGCGUGAGUGAUGAAGGUCUUCGGAUCGUAAAACUCUGUUAUUAGGGAAGAACAUAUGUGUAAGUAACUGUGCACAUCUUGACGGUACCUAAUCAGAAAGCCACGGCUAACUACGUG
RNAcentral lists this ribosomal RNA (497 nucleotides) under uncultured bacterium. RNAcentral describes it as "partial 16S ribosomal RNA". It matches the Rfam family "Bacterial small subunit ribosomal RNA", at positions 28 to 507 of the family's 1533-position model. The record is from RNAcentral.